GACGGAGGGUGCUAGCGUUGUUCGGAAUGACUGGGCGUAAAGGGCGCGUAGGCGGCCGCUUGCGUCGGAUGUGAAAGCCCGGGGCUCAACCCCGGAACGGCAUCCGAUACGGGGCGGCUCGAGACCGAGAGAGGUGAGUGGAAUACCCAGUGUAGAGGUGAAAUUCGUAAAUAUUGGGUGGAACACCGGUGGCGAAAGCGGCUCACUGGCUCGGUUCUGACGCUGAGGCGCGAAAGCGUGGGGAGCAAACAGG
This 253-nucleotide ribosomal RNA is filed under the name uncultured bacterium. RNAcentral describes it as "partial 16S ribosomal RNA". It matches the Rfam family "Bacterial small subunit ribosomal RNA", at positions 524 to 776 of the family's 1533-position model. The record is from RNAcentral.